CCUACGGGAGGCAGCAGUGAGGAAUAUUGGUCAAUGGACGAGAGUCUGAACCAGCCAAGUAGCGUGAAGGAUGACUGCCCUAUGGGUUGUAAACUUCUUUUAUAUGGGAAUAAACUGUUCCACGUGUGGGAUUUUGUAUGUACCAUAUGAAUAAGGAUCGGCUAACUCCGUGCCAGCAGCCGCGGUAAUACGGAGGAUCCGAGCGUUAUCCGGAUUUAUUGGGUUUAACGGGAGCUUAGGUGGAUUGUUAAGUCAGUUGUGAAAGUUUGCGGCUCAACCGUAAAAUUGCAGUUGAAACUGGCAGUCUUGAGUACAGUAGAGGUGGGCGGAAUUCGUGGUGUAGCGGUGAAAUGCUUAGAUAUCACGAAGAACUCCGAUUGCGAAGGCAGUUCACUGGACUGCAACUGACACUGAGGCUCGAAAGUGUGGGUAUCAAACAGGAUUAGAUACCCGUGUAGUC
This 460-nucleotide ribosomal RNA is filed under the name uncultured bacterium. Its description in RNAcentral is "partial 16S ribosomal RNA". It matches the Rfam family "Bacterial small subunit ribosomal RNA", at positions 338 to 795 of the family's 1533-position model. The record is from RNAcentral.